AGAGUUUGAUCCUGGCUCAGAACGAACGUUAGCGGCGCGCUUAACACAUGCAAGUCGUGCGAGAAAGGGGCAACCCCGGUAAAGCGGCGCACGGGUGAGUAACACGUAGGUAAUCUGCCCCCAGGUGGUGGAUAACCUUCCGAAAGGAGGGCUAAUACAGCAUGAGACCACGGUCCCGAAAGGGAUUGAGGUCAAAGCCG
This 200-nucleotide ribosomal RNA is filed under the name uncultured bacterium. RNAcentral's name for it is "partial 16S ribosomal RNA". It matches the Rfam family "Bacterial small subunit ribosomal RNA", at positions 8 to 209 of the family's 1533-position model. The record is from RNAcentral.